This 412-nucleotide long non-coding RNA is filed under the name Manihot esculenta (cassava). Its description in RNAcentral is "long non-coding RNA (MESC_LNC000729)". The record is from RNAcentral. Lineage: Eukaryota; Viridiplantae; Streptophyta; Magnoliopsida; Malpighiales; Euphorbiaceae.
UGUUCUCUACCAAUCCCUACUAGAGCUCCUCAUGGCUCUAGGCGGAUCAAACUCAUAAUGUUAAGCCUGGUUUUGCUCAUAAACAUACAACAAUAAAGAAACAUACAUAAACUGAUCAUGUGACUCCACAAAGGGAUUACAACUCUUAUAAGUCAAGCACUAUUCUAUACAUUGUCCAUAUACACUAGCAUACAUUUACAUGUCCACACUAGCUAUUACACCAUUCUGUACUCUUCCUGUACCCUGCUGAGUUCUCUCUAACCUCUGAACCUGCACAACUGGAGUUAGGGGAGAGGGAUGAGCUACAAUAGCCCAGUGAGUAGAAUAGUAAUAAAAUUACAGGUGAUAAAACAUGCUCUCAUGGAAUGCAACACAUAAUCACAUCACCUCGGCCGGACGGAUCAAAACNNNN